RNAcentral lists this small RNA (3519 nucleotides) under Pongo abelii (Sumatran orangutan). Its description in RNAcentral is "retained intron". The record is from RNAcentral. Lineage: Eukaryota; Metazoa; Chordata; Mammalia; Primates; Hominidae.
GUCACGGCACAUGGCCACUGAGUGGACUGUUGGUGGCUGCCCCCGAGUGUGGCCCUGGGUGGCGUCACGGCAUGUGGGCACUGAGUGGGCUGUUGGUGGCCGCCCCCAGUGCAUGUGUCACUUACAGGGCAUGAUGCUACUGAAGUUUGUGAAGUUGGUUUCAUUGAUGCUGUUACUAAGACUGUAAUGUCAGACAUGUUGGGAUCUGUUCUUUUCAAAUAAAAAGGAUGACUUCCUCUUGUUGGGUGUCACCUAGUCUGGGCGGAGUGGGAGCCGUGACUCUUGACUCAUUGGGCCGUCUGGCUUUCCCGGGGCACCUCCACCUGGAGAGUGCCUCUGAGAACCUCCCAGAGUCUGCCCCUUGUGUUCCUCAGAUGGACUUUUCGUUUCCUGGAGUUUUGUCAUGAGGCUUAAUUAACUCAUGUCUCUCUCUCUUUUCUUUCAGUCUGCAACUGUGUCUGAUGGCGAGUUGACGGGCGCCGACCUGAAGGACUGCGUCAGCAACAACAGCCUGAGCAGCAAUGCCAGCCUCCCCAGCGUGCAGAGCUGCCGGCGCCUGCGUGAGAGGAGGGUCGCCAGCUGGGCCGUGUCCUUCGAGCGCCUGCUGCAGGACCCCGUCGGUGUCCGCUACUUCUCUGUGAGUAGGGAAGAGCUCAGGACCAGCAGAGUGGUCUGUGCUCUGCAGAGACUACCGAGCAGGAUCCGUGGGCCGCCCUAGGGACAGCGGCACCCUGUGGGCCCUGAGCAGCCCUGUGGCCUGGACCGCCUGCCCUCCCUGGACCGCCACCCUCUCAAGAGCUCAGAGGCGGGUGGGUUGAAUCCUGCCCCUGGUUCUGCCCCCAGGGAGCGUCCCUGGCCCUCCCGCUCCCUACUGGGGUCUCUCUGCAGCCCGCAACACUGGAGCUUCCUGUGUGCGUUGAGAAGCUGGGUGCCUGUUGCCAGCUCUUCAAAGAGAUGUUUUGCUUUUGGGGAAACAGCUGGAAGCAGCAGUGCGGUUCCCUAAAGUGCUGGGCAGCGAUGAGGUUUCUCUCUCCAGGCCCUCGGGCAGCUCAGUGAGCAGCCGGUGACUCCGUGGUUUCUGUAGAAGGGGAAGUAGGAAAAAGGAGGACCCUGUGUCAAUGUUAAUAAAUGGUGUCUUUCUUAGGAUUUUCUAAGGAAAGAAUUCAGUGAAGAAAACAUUUUAUUCUGGCAGGCCUGUGAAUAUUUUAAUCAUGUUCCUGCACAUGACAAAAAGGAGCUUUCCUACAGGGCCCGGGAGAUUUUCAGUAAGUUUCUCUGCAGCAAAGCCACCACCCCGGUCAACAUCGACAGCCAGGCCCAGCUAGCAGACGAUGUCCUCCGCGCACCUCACCCGGACAUGUUCAAGGAGCAGCAGCUCCAGAUCUUCAAUCUCAUGAAGUUUGAUAGCUACACUCGGUUUCUGAAGUCCCCGCUGUACCAGGAAUGCAUCCUGGCGGAAGUGGAGGGCCGCGCACUCCCGGACUCGCAGCAGGUCCCUAGCAGCCCGGCUUCCAAGCACAGCCUCGGUUCAGACCACUCUAGUGUGUCCACGCCAAAAAAGUUAAGCGGAAAAUCAAAAUCCGGCCGAUCCUUGAAUGAAGAGCUGGGGGAUGAGGACAGCGAGAAGAAGCGGAAAGGCGCGUUUUUCUCGUGGUCACGGACCAGGAGCACCGGAAGGUCCCAGAAGAAGAGGGAGCACGGGGACCAGGCAGACGACGCCCUGCAUGCCAAUGGAGGCCUGUGUCGCCGAGAGUCGCAGGGCUCUGUGUCCUCUGCGGGGAGCCUGGACCUGUCAGAGGCCUGCAGGACUUUGGCGCCCGAGAAGGACAAGGCCACCAAGCACUGCUGCAUUCAUCUCCCAGAUGGGACAUCCUGCGUGGUGGCUGUCAAGGCGGGCUUCUCCAUCAAAGACAUCCUGUCCGGACUCUGUGAGCGGCAUGGCAUCAACGGGGCGGCCGCGGACCUCUUCCUGGUGGGCGGGGACAAGCCUCUGGUGCUGCACCAAGACAGUAGCAUCUUGGAGUCAAGGGACCUGCGCCUAGAAAAGCGCACCUUGUUUCGGCUGGAUCUUGUUCCAAUUAACCGGUCAGUGGGACUCAAGGCCAAGCCCACCAAGCCCGUCACGGAGGUGCUACGGCCCGUGGUGGCCAAGUACGGCCUGGACCUCAGUGGCCUGCUGGUGAGGCUGAGUGGAGAGAAGGAGCCCCUGGACCUUGGCGCCCCUAUAUCGAGUCUGGAUGGACAGCGGGUUGUCUUGGAGGAGAAGGAUCCUUCCAGAGGAAAGGCAUCCACAGAUAAACAGAAAGGUGUGCCAGUGACACAGAACACAGCUGUAAAUUCCAACUCCAGAAACCACUCGGCUACGGGAGAGGAAAGAACACUAGGCAAGUCUAAUUCUAUUAAAAUAAAAGGAGAAAAUGGAAAAAAUGCUAGGGAUCCCCGGCUUUCAAAGAGAGAAGAAUCUAUUGCAAAGAUUGGGAAAAAAAAAUAUCAGAAAAUUAAUUUGGACGAAGCAGAGGAGUUUUUUGAGCUUAUUUCCAAAGCUCAGAGCAACAGAGCAGAUGACCAACGUGGACUGCUAAGGAAGGAAGACCUGGUGUUGCCAGAGUUCCUCCGUUUACCUCCUGGUUCCACAGAACUCACCCUCCCCACUCCAGCUGCUGUGGCCAAGGGCUUUAGCAAGAGAAGCGCCACAGGCAACGGCCGGGAGAGCGCCUCCCAGCCCAGCGAGCAGUGGGAGCCAGCCCAGGAGAGCAGCGACAGCCCGUCCACCAGCCCAGGCUCAGCCCCCAGCCCCCCUGGACCUCCCGGGACAACCCCUCCCGGGCAGAAGUCUCCCAGCGGGCCCUUCUGCACUCCCCAGUCCCCCGUCUCCCUCGCGCAGGAGGGCACCGCGCAGAUCUGGAAGAGGCAGUCUCAGGAAGUGGAGGCCGGGGGCAUCCAGACGGUGGAGGAUGAGCACGUGGCCGAGCUGACCCUGAUGGGGGAAGGGGACAUCAGCAGCCCCAACAGCACCUUGCUGCCGCCGCCCUCUGCCCCCCAGGACGUGCCAGGACCUUCCAGACCAGGAAGUGGGACCCAUGGCAGCCGAGGCCUCCCGGUCAACAGAAUCAUCGAUGUGGAUCUUGUAACUGGCUCGGCGCCCGGGCGGGAUGGUGGCAUAGCGGGGGCACGGGCUGGCCCUGGGAGGUCGCAGGCCAGUGGUGGGCCUCCUACGUCAGACCUCCCUGGCCUGGGCCCCGUCCCAGGUGAGCCUGCUAAGCCCAAGGCCAGCGCGCACCACGCCACCUUCGUCUGAGCUGCCCUGGCCUGGCCAACUCUCCUGUGGAUGUGUCGGGGUGGGGCCGCCCAGGUGGAUUCUUUGGGCCUCAGAGGGGCCACCCUGGCCACCACACCCUCAGGAGCCCAGCCAGGAGGGCAGGGGGUGACCUCGCUGGAGGCACUGGUCCCGGACAUUCACCAUGCUGGCCAUGGGGCUCCCUGGCCCUGGCCCCCUGCUGCCCAAUAAAGCAUUUCUGA